GACUGAACCACUGUCAUCUGAGAAUUGAGGGUCAAAGUUGGAUCUUCCCAGCUCAGAGGAGAAGCCUUCUCUAAACAAAGGAGGGGCUCAGCUGGGUAGGUUGUUGCAAAGAGAACUCACUUCAGAGCCAAGUCAGCCAGGCCCUGUCACUUAAAAGCUAUGUGACCUUGUGGAAGCCUUGAACCCAAGACUCAGGAUACUGAGACAGCAAGACCUUCCUCAAAUUGCCGAGAUGCAGGGUCUUGCUCUGUUGCCCAGGCUGAUCUCAAAUUUCUGGCUUCAAGUGAUCCUCCUACCUCAGCCUCUCGAAGUGCUGGGAAUACAGACAUAAGCCACCACACCCAGCCCACAUAAGUCCUUCAAGAACUCCCGGCAGUGCUUUCUUCAGAUGAUGCUCGGAAUCCAGCCACCUCUGACCAUCUUCACUCUGAGUGCUAGGGGCUCUUCACCUCCCUGCACACUGGGCUCUCUGUUUCUGCUCCUAGCCUCGCAGCCUCUCAUCAAGUGACCUGUCACUACUCUGCUCAAGGCGUUGUCUGUUAGGAUGAUCAUCAGCACUAGCUGCUCUGCCUGGAGUGGUCCCGACACAUGCUUGACUGCCUCCUUCACUCCGUCAAGUUGAUACAGAAGGGCUGGGCUCCUGGCUAGACCCUACCCUUAAGCCUGGAACUUCAGCCCUAAAGGACCCCAUUUUCCCCCAAAAUGUUACCUUUUUGGCCUGCCUGCCCAUAUGCUGUGCCCAUAAAAGACUUCAGCUGGCAGAGCAACACAAGCGGCUGAGCAUUGAGGAUAUAAGCGGCUGAGCGGCGAGCAGAAAAGCAACUGAGUAUCGGAGACUGUGGAUAGAUCUGGCUAACUUCAGAUGGUGCAGGUUUGGAGAGGGGCCCUGCCGGAGACGGUGGGGCUUCAGAGAAAGAUCACCAUCCCAUCCCCUUUCCAUCCUCCCUUUCCACUGAGAGCCACCCAACACUCAGUAAAGUCUUCUACAUUCAUCACCUUUCAAACAGUUCAUGUGACCUGAUUCUUCUUCCUGGACGCCAGACAAGAAUCUGGGUGCCGAGAAGGCAGGGGCUGCCACCCUGAACCUCCACUGAACUGGUUGGUAUUUGGCCAUCCCCUGACAGCAGAGCUGAAAGAACAGGGACGCUGCUGCAGGGCCCUAACAGAGCCUGCUCCUGCCAGAGAGGAGCAACUGGCCGGUUGCAGCGUUCAUUUGCUCCGGUUCCCACACUCACUCACGCACUCGCUCCCACAAUGAGUGGCCAGCAACAGGCUGAGUGAAACAAAGUGCUCCUUAGCUGGGCGUGGUGGUGGGUGCCUGUAAUCCCAGCUACUCGGGAGGCUGAGGCAGGAGAAUCGCUUGAACCCGGGAGACGGAGGUUGCAGUGACUCGAGAUCUCGCCACUGCACUCCAGCCUGGGCGACAAAGCGAGACUCAGUCUCAAAAAAAAAAAAAAAAAAAAAAAAAAACCAACAA
Molecule: long non-coding RNA, 1477 nt
Organism: Pongo pygmaeus (Bornean orangutan)
Lineage: Eukaryota; Metazoa; Chordata; Mammalia; Primates; Hominidae
Exons: 3
Source: RefSeq, a predicted model, not a curated record